ACGGGAGGCAGCAGUGGGGAAUAUUGCACAAUGGGGGAAACCCUGAUGCAGCAACGCCGCGUGAGCGAAGAAGUAUUUCGGUAUGUAAAGCUCUAUCAGCAGGGAAGAAAGUGACGGUACCUGAGUAAGAAGCCCCGGCUAACUACGUGCCAGCAGCCGCGGUAAUACGUAGGGGGCAAGCGUUAUCCGGAUUUACUGGGUGUAAAGGGAGCGUAGACGGCGGCGCAAGUCUGAUGUGAAAGCCUGGGGCUCAACCCCGGAACUGCAUUGGAAACUGUGCUGCUGGAGUGCCGGAGAGGUAAGCGGAAUUCCUAGUGUAGCGGUGAAAUGCGUAGAUAUUAGGAGGAACACCAGUGGCGAAGGCGGCUUACUGGACGGUAACUGACGUUGAGGCUCGAAAGCGUGGGGAGCAAACAGGAUUAGAUACCCUGGUA
This 434-nucleotide ribosomal RNA is filed under the name uncultured bacterium. Its description in RNAcentral is "bacterial SSU rRNA". It matches the Rfam family "Bacterial small subunit ribosomal RNA", at positions 341 to 792 of the family's 1533-position model. The record is from RNAcentral. RNAcentral also lists the same sequence under 1 other name.